UACAGGGGGGGCAAGCGUUGUUCGGAAUUACUGGGCGUAAAGGGCUCGUAGGCGGCCAACUAAGUCGGACGUGAAAUCCCUCGGCUUAACCGGGGAACUGCGUCUGAUACUGGAUGGCUUGAGAUUGGGAGAGGGAUGCGGAAUUCCAGGUGUAGCGGUGAAAUGCGUAGAUAUCUGGAGGAACACCGGUGGCGAAGGCGGCAUCCUGGACCAACACUGACGCUGAGGAGCGAAAGCCAGGGGAGCAAACGGG
Molecule: ribosomal RNA, 253 nt
Filed under: uncultured bacterium
Lineage: Bacteria
Description: partial 16S ribosomal RNA
Rfam family: Bacterial small subunit ribosomal RNA
Source: RNAcentral